RNAcentral lists this ribosomal RNA (552 nucleotides) under Nibribacter koreensis. Its description in RNAcentral is "bacterial SSU rRNA". It matches the Rfam family "Bacterial small subunit ribosomal RNA", at positions 359 to 917 of the family's 1533-position model. Lineage: Bacteria; Pseudomonadati; Bacteroidota; Cytophagia; Cytophagales; Hymenobacteraceae. The record is from RNAcentral.
UCGAAGCAUGGGCGGAGCCUGACCCAGCCAUGCCGCGUGCAGGAUGAAGGCCUUCUGGGUUGUAAACUGCUUUUAUCAGGGAAGAAAACACCCAUGCGUGGGGAACUGACGGUACCUGAGGAAUAAGCACCGGCUAACUCCGUGCCAGCAGCCGCGGUAAUACGGAGGGUGCAAGCGUUGUCCGGAUUUAUUGGGUUUAAAGGGUGCGUAGGCGGCCCCUUAAGUCAGUGGUGAAAGCCCGCGGCUCAACCGCGGAACUGCCAUUGAUACUGGGGGGCUUGAGUACAGACGAGGUAGGCGGAAUUGAAGAUGUAGCGGUGAAAUGCUUAGAUAUCUUCAAGAACCCCGAUUGCGUAGGCAGCUUACUAGGCUGUAACUGACGCUGAGGCACGAAAGCGUGGGGAGCGAACAGGAUUAGAUACCCUGGUAGUCCACGCCGUAAACGAUGAUUACUCGAUGUCGGCGACAGACUGUCGGCGUCUUAGCGAAAGCGUUAAGUAAUCCACCUGGGGAGUACGCCCGCAAGGGUGAAACUCAAAUGAAAUUGACGGA